UUCGGUCUUUUAUGCUUUGUGGCACCACCCGACUUCCAUUCCGAACUCGGCCGUGAAACACAAAAGCGCAGACAAUAGUCUACCGGCAACGGUACGCGAAGAUAUGUCAAGGCCGGAG
RNAcentral lists this ribosomal RNA (118 nucleotides) under Candidatus Woesebacteria bacterium RIFOXYA1_FULL_43_9. The record is from RNAcentral. Lineage: Bacteria; Candidatus Woeseibacteriota.